UUAUAGAAUAGCAGGGGCACCGUCCCUGUCCAUUUCAAAAUCUCAUAAAACAAUUAGCUGGAAGGGUGGGUUUUAUUGGCUGCUUGUUGCUGACGCAUAAAUUUGUAUUAUCAAGCUCAAUAGCUCAAAGACACCAACAAAGAUGAAUUAUGUCACGUUGAAACUGGUCUCUGAAGAGUGAUAGGUGCUGCAUACGGGAGGUAUCCUCUACCCUAGUCC
RNAcentral lists this long non-coding RNA (219 nucleotides) under Elaeis guineensis (African oil palm). RNAcentral's name for it is "long non-coding RNA (EGUI_LNC006453)". The record is from RNAcentral. Lineage: Eukaryota; Viridiplantae; Streptophyta; Magnoliopsida; Arecales; Arecaceae.